Molecule: signal recognition particle RNA, 99 nt
Filed under: Alphaproteobacteria bacterium
Lineage: Bacteria; Pseudomonadati; Pseudomonadota; Alphaproteobacteria
Description: signal recognition particle sRNA small type
Rfam family: Bacterial small signal recognition particle RNA
About the family: The signal recognition particle (SRP) is a universally conserved ribonucleoprotein involved in the co-translational targeting of proteins to membranes. Archaeal SRP consists of a 7S RNA and homologues of the eukaryotic SRP19 and SRP54 proteins.
Source: RNAcentral
GCAGGAAGUCUGGGUAGACGUAGUCCCUGCUUAUCCGGUCAGGUCCGAGAGGAAGCAGCCACAGUAGGUUUCAUACGGGUUGCCCAGUCUUCCGCUAAA